Molecule: ribosomal RNA, 434 nt
Filed under: uncultured Coprococcus sp.
Lineage: Bacteria; Bacillati; Bacillota; Clostridia; Lachnospirales; Lachnospiraceae
Description: partial 16S ribosomal RNA
Rfam family: Bacterial small subunit ribosomal RNA
Source: RNAcentral
ACGGAAGGCAGCAGUGGGGAAUAUUGCACAAUGGGGGAAACCCUGAUGCAGCGACGCCGCGUGAGUGAAGAAGUAUUUCGGUAUGUAAAGCUCUAUCAGCAGGGAAGAUAAUGACGGUACCUGACUAAGAAGCACCGGCUAAAUACGUGCCAGCAGCCGCGGUAAUACGUAUGGUGCAAGCGUUAUCCGGAUUUACUGGGUGUAAAGGGUGCGUAGGCGGCAAGGCAAGUCUGAAGUGAAAGCUCGGGGCUCAACCCCGGAACUGCUUUGGAAACUGUUUAGCUAGAGUACAGGAGAGGUAAGUGGAAUUCCUAGUGUAGCGGUGAAAUGCGUAGAUAUUAGGAGGAACACCAGUGGCGAAGGCGACUUACUGGACUGACACUGACGCUGAGGCACGAAAGCGUGGGGAGCAAACAGGAUUAGAUACCCUGGUA